CAAUACAAUACUUUUUCAAUAUUAACUUAAACAAAGCAGGAACUACUGCUGCUUCAUGGAAACAAAGAAAAAGGAACACGAAUUUCAUGUGUUCGCAUGUAACAACAAAUGAGGAACAAUGGAUUGAUCUGUCUUCCACUUCUUUUGGAAAUCCGAGUAGCCAGUUCUUUUGGAUUGCAGAACAUCCUGACAUUUACAAGGAGCAAACAUGAGAAAAAAUACAUGAAAAAAACAUACAAACCACAAGGAAAAGAAAAAACA
This 261-nucleotide long non-coding RNA is filed under the name Hordeum vulgare. RNAcentral describes it as "long non-coding RNA (HVUL_LNC018799)". Lineage: Eukaryota; Viridiplantae; Streptophyta; Magnoliopsida; Poales; Poaceae. The record is from RNAcentral.